Molecule: RNA transcript, 2598 nt
Organism: Hippopotamus amphibius kiboko
Lineage: Eukaryota; Metazoa; Chordata; Mammalia; Artiodactyla; Hippopotamidae
Gene: SPPL2B
Gene name: signal peptide peptidase like 2B
Exons: 15
Source: RefSeq, a predicted model, not a curated record
GACGCCUGCGGCGGGGAACCCGGCGACAUGGCGGCGGCGGCGGCGGCGGCGCUGGCGCGGCUCGCGGCGGCCUUCCUGCUCCUCGUGCCCCAGGUGGCCUGUGAGUACGGCAUGGUGCGCGUGGUGUCCGAGACCGGGGGCCCCAGAGGCAAAGACUACUGCAUCCUCUACAACCCGCAGUGGGCCCACCUGCCGCACGACCUCAGCAAAGCGUCUCUCCUGCAGGUGCGGGACUGGACCACCUCCGUGCUCUGCUCUCCAGCCGACCUCCCCGCCAGAGGCUUCAGCAACCAGAUCCCGCUGGUGGCGCGGGGGAACUGCACCUUCUACGAGAAAGUGCGGCUGGCCCAGGGCAGCGGGGCGCGAGGGCUGCUGGUCGUCAGCAAGGAGACGCUGGUCCCCCCAGGAGGCAACAAGACGCAGUACGAGGAGAUCGGCAUCCCUGUUGGCCUGCUCAGCUACAGAGACAUGCUGGACAUUUUCGAGACGUUCGGCCAGGCGGCGCGGGCGGCGCUGUACGCUCCCAAGGAGCCCAUGCUGGACUACAACAUGGUCCUCAUCUUCACCAUGGCCGUGGGCACCGUCGCCCUCGGGGGCUACUGGGCCGGGAGCCGGGACGUGAGGAGGAGGUACAUGAAGCACAAGCGGGACGACGGGCCCGAGAAGCACGAGGACGAGGCCGUGGACGUGACGCCCGUCAUGAUCUGCGUCUUCGUGGUCAUGUGCUGCUGCAUGCUGGUGCUGCUCUACUACUUCUACGACCAGCUCGUCUACGUCAUCAUCGGGGUCUUCUGCCUGGCCUCCUGCACCGGCCUCUACAGCUGCCUGUCGCCGCUGGUCCAGAGGCUGCCGCUCUGCAGGUGCAGGGUCCCGGACAACAGCCUGCCCUACUUCCACAAGCGCCCUCAGGUCCGCAUGCUGCUCCUGGCGCUGCUGUGCAUGGCUGUCAGCGUGGUGUGGGGCGUCUUCCGGAAUGAGGACCAGUGGGCUUGGAUCCUUCAGGACGCGCUGGGCAUCGCCUUCUGCCUCUACACCUUGAAAACCAUCCGCCUCCCCACAUUCAAGGCCUGCACGCUGCUGCUGCUGGUGCUCUUCACCUACGACGUCUUCUUCGUGUUCAUCACGCCCUUCCUGACCAAGAGCGGGAACAGCAUCAUGGUGGAGGUGGCGACCGGGCCGUCGGACUCGGCCACCCACGAGAAGCUCCCCAUGGUGCUGAAGGUGCCCAGGCUGAACGCCUCGCCGCUGGCCCUGUGUGACCGGCCCUUCUCCCUCCUGGGCUUCGGGGACAUCCUGGUCCCAGGGCUGCUCGUGGCCUACUGCCACCGCUUCGACAUCCAGGUGCAGUCCUCCAGGGUCUACUUCGUGGCCUGCACCAUCGGUAAGCCCGCCGCCCGGGGGGCCCGGCCUCACCCGUCCUCCGGCUGCGGCUGCGGUCGGGGGACAGGCCUGCGCCCGUGUCACAGGCCUCCCUCUCACUCGCCUCAGUGCUCCUUGUUUUUCUUAUCUCUGUCUUUCUUUUUGCCCCUGUCUUCUAUGUGUCUGUUACCAAAGCCAUUUACACCAAAGAGUUUUUUUCUCACUUCCUGUUGAGUCCAGUUGUUUCUAAAAAUGUCCAAACCAGUUCUCUUGUCCUGCUGGGUCAGCGCUCCAGGAGGAGUGGGGGUGCGGAGUGCACAGGCCCCGCCGCCCGGCCCGGGUGAGGGGAGACCCCUCCACGGCCCCCAGCAGCGCCCGGUGGGCGUUGGGCCGUUGCCGUCCACGCCUUCCCACGGGUUUCUGCAGGUCCAGGUGCAGCCUCCCCACCCCUGCCCCCGGGUUCACAGGCUCCGUGAUGAGCCUGUCCAGGUGGACCCGCAGGGCCCUUCUCUGUGAGAAGCAGAGUUUGGCAGGUUGUUCUGUAGUCGAAUCACUCCUGUAGGAUACGUGGCUGGUGCACGGCCGGGAAGCGGGCACUCCCUGCGCAGCCCCGUCGCCUGGCAGCAAGGGAGCAGGGGCAGAGCAGGCAGCCGGGCGCGGAGCGGGGGCUGGAGGCGGGGCUCUGCAGCGCGGAGGGGACGUGCCAGUGAACAGGGCCUUUCCUCGUGACUGUGAUAAUGGCGCGUGCGCAGCUGCGCCCGGGCUGAGCCCUCCAGCGCCUGCUCGCGUCUGCCGUGUCCUGCAUCCAUCCUCGCGCUCUCUGUGCACGUGCGUGUACGUCUGCACUCACGCAAUCGUACAUCACACACGCUGUUGUAUUCUGAAUGGGGAGCACCGCGUGCAGACACGCCUGCACCCCUCAGUGCGUCCAUGGGGUCACGACUCCGUGAUGAAAGCCUACGGCAUCGGCCUCCUGGUGACCUUCAUGGCGCUGGCCCUCAUGCAGCGCGGCCAGCCCGCCCUCCUCUACCUGGUGCCCUGCACGCUCGUCACCAGCUGUGCCCUGGCGCUCUGGCGCAGGGAGCUGGGCAUGUUCUGGACGGGCAGCGGCUUUGCGGACCUACCUCAGUCGCCGUGGGCGCCCGCCUCCGCCACCGCCGACGGCCCGCAGCCCCAGGCGGACUCCGACGCCGCCCCGUCCCGGCAGCCUCCCGGUCAAGAAGCGGCUCCGUCCCCGCC